This 423-nucleotide ribosomal RNA is filed under the name Vitreorana helenae group sp. ABGD cluster 5. RNAcentral's name for it is "partial large subunit ribosomal RNA". It matches the Rfam family "Bacterial large subunit ribosomal RNA", at positions 1834 to 2439 of the family's 2925-position model. Lineage: Eukaryota; Metazoa; Chordata; Amphibia; Anura; Centrolenidae. The record is from RNAcentral.
CUUGACAUAUUAUAAGAGGUCCAGCCUGCCCAGUGACUCUGUUCAACGGCCGCGGUAUCCUAACCGUGCGAAGGUAGCGUAAUCACUUGUUCUUUAAAUGAGGACUAGUAUGAAUGGCACCACGAGGGUUAUACUGUCUCCUCUUUCUAAUCAGUGAAACUAAUCUCCCCGUGAAGAAGCGAGGAUAAAACUAUAAGACGAGAAGACCCUAUGGAGCUUUAAAUAAAGUAACACCUGCACCAAUUUAGCAUAAAUUUCAGAAAAUCUCAUUAGCUUGUGCAAGAUGCUUACAAGUUUUAGGUUGGGGUGACCGCGGAGUAAAAAAUAACCUCCACAUUGAAAGGAGCUAAUCCUUAGCUAAGAGCCACACCUCCAAGCACCAAUAAAAUGACAUCAAUUGACCCAAUAAUUUGAUCAACGAAC